This is an RNA transcript of Carcharodon carcharias (great white shark), 7608 nucleotides long. It is a transcript of the gene named proteasome activator complex subunit 4-like, with no coding region annotated. The transcript is spliced from 48 exons. The record is from RefSeq and is a predicted model, not a curated record. NCBI's taxonomy places the organism in Eukaryota, Metazoa, Chordata, Chondrichthyes, Lamniformes, Lamnidae.
CCCUGCCGCUUUCUCACAUCCGCCGGUUUCGGCCUCUCAGAUGGAUUGGGACCGGGAGUUGGAAGGUGGCGAUACUGGGCCGGGCUGUGAUCCGGGCCCAGGCCGAGAGCUCGACAUGAGCGAGGCGAACGGGAGCGAGUGGGGAAAGCGUCGGCGGGAGGAGGCUCUGGGAUUCAGGCCGCAGAAGGAGAUCUUGUACAACCAGCUACUGCCGUAUUCGGAGCGUCUGGAUCAGGAGUCCAACUACAUGCUGGGCCAGGUUAAAAGCAACCUGAGCCGGGCCGUGCAGCUCCGGGAGCUGUGGCCUGGAGUUUUAUUCUGGACCAGAAAACUGUCAACGUAUAUCCGACUAUAUGGAAGAAAAUUCAGCAAAGAAGAUCAUGUUCUAUUUGUUAAGCUGCUGUAUGAAUUAGUUGUCAUGCCUAAGCUUGAGAUCAGCAUGAUGCAAGGAUUCACACGAUUGUUAAUAAGUUUACUCAAAAAAAAAGAACUCUUAUCAAGGGAAGAUUUGCAGUUGCCGUGGAGACCAUUGUAUGAAACGAUGGAGAGAAUUUUGUACUCGAAGACAGAGCAUCUUGGACUGAAUUGGUUUCCAAAUUCGUUUCGACAAGGCUUCUCUUCCCCUAAAUCGUGUGUGCUUAGUGUUUUGCAUAGGUGUUCCGUAGAAAAUGUGUUGAAGACACUGGUGAAGUGCUGUCGACCGUAUUUUCCAGAUGAAGCUACAGCAGAGAUGUUAGAUGAAUGGAAGCCAUUAAUGUGUCCUUUUGAUGUCACCAUGCAGAAGGCAAUCAGCUAUUUUGAAAUGUUUCUUCCUACCUCCCUUCCUCCUCAUCUGCAUCAUAAAGGAUUCAGGCUUUGGUUUGAUGAAUUUAUAGACCUUUAUGUCACAGUUCAGAACCUCCCUCAGUGGGAAGGGAAUUUGGUAAACCUGUUUUCACGUUUGGCUACAGAUAAUAUUGGGUACAUAGAUUGGGAUGAAUACAUUCCAAAGAUUUUUACCAGAAUUCUGAGAAGCUUAAAUCUGCCAGUAGGAAGCAGCCAAGUUUUAAUCUCCAAGUAUUUAUCAAGCGCAUAUGAAAUUGGCCAUGUGGUGGUUUGGAUUACUUCGAUGCUGGGUGGUCCCAGUAAACUGGCACAGAAGCACCUGAGUGGAUUUUUUAACAGCAUUGCAUCAUUCUACCAUCCUUCUAAUAAUGGGAGAUGGUUGAUGAAACUGAUGAAGUUGUUACAACGGUUGCCUGCUAGCGUUGUGAGAAGACUACACAGAGAACGAUACAAAAAGGCAACCUGGCUAAACAUCAUACCAGACAGCCAUAAACUCUCUGACCAGGACAUUACCGAUUUUGUGGAAAGCAUCAAACAGCCUGUACUGCUUGCUAUGUUCAGUAAGACUGGAAGUCUGGAGGCUGCUCAGGCCCUUCAAAAUCUGGCUCUGAUGCGUCCAGAGCUUGUUAUCCCACCAGUACUUGAAAAAACAUAUCCUGCAUUGCAGACUUUGACAGAACCUCACCAACUUACAGCAACCCUAAGCUGUGUGAUAGGAGUUGCACGCAGUCUGGUCUCUGGAGGGAAAUGGUUCCCUGAAGGCCCAACACACAUGCUACCUCUAUUAAUGAGAGCCCUACCUGGUGUGGACCCAAAUGAUUUCAGCAAAUGCAUGAUCACAUUCCAGUUUAUAGCCACAUUUUCUACUCUUGUGCCUUUGGUGGACUGUUCAUCUGUUUUGCAAGAGAGAAAUGAUCUUUCUGAAGUAGAGAGGGAACUUUGCUCAGCCACAGCAGAAUUUGAAGAUUUUGUUCUUCAGUUUAUGGACAGGUGUUUUUCUCUGAUUGAAAUAAGCACCCUGGAACAAACGAGAGAAGAGACAGAAACUGAGAAGAUGACUCAUGUGGAAAGCUUGGUGGAACUGGGUCUCUCUUCAACUUUUAGUACAAUUCUCACACAGUGCUCCAAAGAGAUUUUUCUGGUUGCUUUGGACAAAGUAUUUAACUUUGCUACUACAAAUAUUUUUGAGACCCGUGUUGCUGGCAGAAUGGUGGCAGACAUGUGCCGGGCAGCUUCUAAGUGUCGUCCAGCAACUGCUCUGAGGCGAUUUGUACCACACUGCUGCAAUGUAAUAGCUCAGCUAACCAUCAAUGAUGAUGUGUUACAGGAGCAGGAGUUAGAUAAGGAGCUGCUUUGGAAUCUCCAGCUGUUAUCAGAGAUAACACGCGUAGAUGGUGAUAAGCUGCUGCCUUACAAGGAUCAACUUGUAAAGAUUCUACAAAGAACACUGCACUUGAAGUGCAAGCAGGGAUACGUUCUGGCUGGAAAUCUGUUACAUCAUCUACUUCGUUCAACUACACUAAUCUAUCCAACAGAGUACUGCAGCGUGCCAGGUGGCUUUGAUAAAGCUUUCACAGAGUACUUGCCAAUUAAGGAUUGGGGAAGACCAGGAGAUCUUUGGAAUUUAGGAAUUCAGUGGCAUGUGGCUUCUCCAGAGGAGAUAAAUUUUGCUUACUAUUUGUUGGAUAACUUUCUUCAGCCAGAGCUGUCCAGACUCCAGCAAUGUGCUAAUGGAGAAAUAGAAAUGUCAAGAGAUGACAUACACCAGAGCCUGUGUAUUGUGCAGAACUGCCUGAUGGGCUCAGGGAGCCUGUUACCUUUCCUGGGAGGAGACCCCAUACGUGACUUGGCUCCAACUUUGAUGGCUUUGGAAGAGACCAAACUCUGCACUGGUGUUAAUUAUGAUCCUUCAAGAGGAAAUUACAGGGAAGCAAUUGCCCAAGUCAUAAGGAAACUGCUACAUCACAUGUUGGAUAACUCUGAAGAUGACACAAAGUCCUUAUUUGUAAUAAUUAAGAUUAUAGGAGACUUGCUGCAGUUUCGUGGUUCUUAUAAGCAUGAGUUUGACUCCAGAUGGAAAAGCUUUAAUCUUGUGAAAAAAUCCAUGGAGAACAGGCUACAUGGAAAGAAACAACAUAUCCGAGCGCUGCUGAUUGAUCGAGUUAUGCUGCAGCAUGAGCUACGAACUUUAACUGUUGAAGGCUGUGAAUACAGGACAGUGCACAGUGACUUGAUGCGAGAUCUUCUGCUUUUGUCCACUAGCACGUACAGUCAGGUGCGUAGUAAAGCCCAGCAUGUUUUCUUCACAGCCUUGGGGACUUACAAUUUUUGCUGUCGAGACCUUAUUCCACUAGUGCUGGAAUAUUUGCAUCCUGACAAGCAGAACAUAAACCAGCAACAGUUAAAAGGUGCUCUGUACUGUCUUCUUGGAAACCACAAUGGAGUCUGCUUGGCUAACCUCCACGACUGGGACUGCAUUGUUGCUACAUGGCCAGCUAUAGUCUCUUCAGGGCUCAGCAAAGCAAUGUUUUUAGAGAAGCCUUCCAUUGUUCGUCUAUUUGAUGAUCUUGCAGAGAAGAUACAUAGACAGUAUGAAACCAUUGGUCUAGAUUUUGGAAUUUCAGAUUGUUGUGUGGAACUUUCUGCAUCCUUGUCCCAGACAGAAAAACCAAGUUCUAAUUUGCCUCUUCCUACCACUGAGGAGAUUGAAAAUGGAAUCCAGAGCCAAAUAGCAAAAAAUAAUGAAUCCUUACGGAGUUAUCAGAAGCUAAUUGAUAUCUUGUUGGACUUGCUUGACCAGCGGAACUUACCAUGGAAAUUUGAACAAAUAGCCAUUGGUUUCCUUUCCCUUUUGCUGAGAGAUGAUGUGCCACUACCUACAAGAGGAAUCAAAUUCUUCAUACAGAGUCUCAAUCAUGAUGCCUUAGUAGUCCGGAAGAUGGCAAUAUCUGCUGUGGCUGGCAUCAUGAAGCAGCUGAAGAGACCUCACAAAAAAAUAGGGAUUGAUCCAUAUACUGUUUAUGGAUCUCGCCCAACAACAAUCCAGCCAGGGGACAGGCCUGAUAACAAGUGGCUCCAUUAUGAUAGCUCCAAUUUGCCAAGGACUAAGGAUGAAUGGGAAGCCUGUUUAUUUGUGGAAAAGACACACUGGGGGUACUACACCUGGCCUCAGAAGCUAUUUGUUUAUGCCCCCAUGGACCAACAACCUAAACUAGGAAGGAGUAGAAGCGAAAUGUCAGAGACAGAGCAAGUAAUUUAUGACCACUUCUCUGACCCACAAUUUAUGGAGCAAUUAAUUAAGUUCUUAUCCUUGGAAGACCGAAAGGGAAAAGACAAAUUUAAUCCACGCAGGUUUUGUCUAUUCAAGGGUUUGUUCAGGAACUUUGAUAUGGCCUUUUUACCAGUGUUAAAGCCACAUAUGGAACGUCUUGUCUCGGAUUCUCAUGAAAGCGCUCAGCGUUGUGCAGCUGAAAUCGUUGCCGGAUUAAUCCGAGGUUGUAAGCACUGGAGGUAUGAAGAGGUGGAGCAGCUGUGGAAAAUUCUCUGUCCCUUUCUGAGGAUUGCCUUGUCCAACAUUACAGUAGAAACAUACAGUGACUGGGGAACAUGCAUUGCCACGGCAUGUGAGAGUAGGGACCCUCGGAAACUCCAUUGGCUUUUUGAGUUGCUAAUGGAGGCCCCAUUGAGUGGAGAAGGAGGAUCAUUCGCAGAUGCAUGCCGACUAUACGUUUUGCAGGGUGGCUUGGCGCAGCAAGAAUGGAGAGUACCUGAACUGAUGCAUAGACUCCUUCAGUAUCUUGAGCCCAAACUCACACAGGUCUAUAAAAAUGUGCGAGAAAGGAUAGGAAGUGUUCUAACAUACUUAUUCAUGAUAGAUAUCACUCUACCAAAUUCAAAUCCAACUCUGUCGCCACAUGUCUCUGAAUUCACCAGUCGUAUCUUAGAGCAACUUAAGCCCCUUAUGGAAAUUGAUGAAGAGAUACAAAAUCACAUUGUUGAGGAAAAUGGUGUUGGGGAACAAGAUGAAAGAACCCAGGCUAUUAAACUCCUGAAAACAGUGCUGAAGUGGUUAAUGGCAAGUGCAGGAAGGUCAUUCUCUACAGCAGUUGCCGAGCAGCUUCAUCUUAUGCCACUUUUAUUCAAGAUUGCUCCUGUGGAAAAUGAUGAGAACUAUGAUGAACUUAAAAGGGACGCAAAGAUGUGUUUAUCACUCAUGUCUCAGGGAUUGCUGUAUCCCCAGCAAGUGUCUAUGGUGCUAGAUGUUGUAAAACAGACAUCAGAGAGCAGUUCUUGGCAUGCGAAAUACACUGUUCUAACCUAUCUUCAAACUAUGGUGUUCUACAAUCUGUUUGUUUUUUUGGACAAUGAACAGGCAGUUCAAGAUAUAAGAUGGCUAGUUAUAAAACUCUUGGAAGAUGAGCAGUUGGAGGCAAGAGAAAUGGCUGCUACCACCCUGAGUGGUCUGCUGCAGUGCAACUUCCUGACUAUGGAUUCCUCCAUGCAGUGCCACUUUGAACAGCUCUGCAAGACCAGACUUCCAAAGAAGAGGAAAAGAGACCCAGGCACAGUGGUGGAUACAAUUCCUCCAGCAGGUAAAAAGAAAUUUGGUUCGCCGACAUGCUGGAGUAUUAGGAUUAAGUGCCUGCAUCUUAUCGAGCCCAUAUGAAGUGCCAACUUGGAUGCCACAACUUCUGAUGAACCUCAGUGUUCACCUAAAUGAUCCACAACCUAUAGAGAUGACUGUGAAGAAAACAUUAUCCAAUUUCCGAAGAACUCACCAUGAUAACUGGCAAGAACAUAAACAGCAGUUCACAGAUGAUCAAUUGGUGAUUCUUGCAGACCUCCUUGUGUCACCUUGUUAUUAUGCCUGAGGAGACAGUAGUUCUGUUGACACUGAUGGAAAGGAGUGUUGGUGCUACUACUAAUGAACAAAAGAGAACAUUGAUUUUGUACAUAUGCCUGAGAACCCCAUCAACUGUACAAGUCUUCUGAAGACCCAAGAAGCUGCAAAUACUAAUUUUUUUUGCUCCCUUAAAGAUAUGUAAAUCUUUUCCAGUCUAAAUACAUAAGAAUUCACAGAACAGCAGAAAUUGUGUAUGUAUGUAAAUGUUUAGUAAAAUUUUCACUAAUAUAUAGACAGUUUUUUGCUUACUUACAAAAGAUGUUGUAAUUAAACAAAAAUCAUUCUGCUGAAUUUGUAAAAUUCUUGUACAGUUUUUGCUCAAAACAUCCUCAAUUUCUUGACUGCUCUUAUGACAGCUCCUCUGGCUAUUUCAUAACUUAUAUGUAGAGCUGUAAAAGAAAUGUAAAAACUGUAGAAACAGAAGACGAGCUAAUACAUUUGUACAAAAUGUAAUCUUUAAAGACCUGGUGUUGUGAUCUUUGUUGUUGAGUUUCAUUUGUAGAUGCAAUGGUGUAAACUUAAUAGUGGUUUCGUCUUCAGAUCAUGUGCUUUACUCGUGGUUGUAGGGUUUAUGCUUUCAAGAAAAUGCAUUUUAGCCCUCAGUUUUGCUAAACUAUAGAAGGUUUAUCAUGCUGCUGGUCUUGGUGUGUUUAAAUAAUUUUAAUGUGUCUCGAUAUCUUAAGACUUUUUAUCCAAUUCUUUUACUUUUAUUUGCUUUUGCAAUCGCUAAGCAUUUGUUACAUAUGCUGUCGUGGCAGCAUUAAAUGUACUAUCCUUUGGACGAUUAGCAUGAUGAUAAACUAUGGGUAAAAGGUCAGAUCGUAUUACUGUGCGAUUGCUUACCAUAACAUGUCAAAGACUUAACCACUAUAUAGGGUAGUGCCAAAAAGAAGUGGUUUUUGAUGUACUAUUUGGUUAUUUUAAAGCCAAUAAAUGGAUUGUUUGUAACAAGUCUGUGUUGUUUUGUGAAAAUGUGUGUAAUGAUCUUUCUUUAAAAAAAAUUGUAUGUUUAUUAUAAAAAUAUAUUUAUUAUGGAACUUUUUAAGAUAUCAGUACAGAUUCUGUAGGAAGACUAAAUUCUUCCUUAUUCCUUCUAACUUCACAUAGUUAGGAAAAUCAUUCCCGAAGACAAUUCAGUAAAAUCUUUUCACACCCAUAUCCAACCUUGCUGGAAUUAUAGCCUCAGAUUUUCCCCACUUUGGUUCCCUGGAUAAAGCUGCACCUGUACAUGAAUAUAAUUAAAUGGAAAGUUGGUGGAAACCAAUGAGAAUCUUUAUUGUCUGCAUACAGUGCCCACCCCCCACAGCAUGACAAUAUUUUUCGGGGACAAGCUGAGGAUUCUCAGACUCUGUAUUCCAUGUGAUGAGUUUUGCCUUUUGGCAAUUAUGUCUGAGAUACCCUAUGGUCAGGAGAGCUAGGGGUUCUGCUCUAUCAAAAUUGUGGUUCUGAAAACCAUUGUGUUAUGGAGCUGGAGGGUGGAAUCCUUGUACUAUUCUGUAUCUAAGUGGGUGUUAGCAAUCUGUUCAGUUGCAGGCCAUUGGAUAGCAAUGGCUGUACAGAUAAAUUUUCACCCUCAGCCACUCUGACAGACAAUUUAGCAUGGACAGGGAUUUGAACUUGGAGCCUUUCUAGUCUGUGUGGUAGAGCUACUAACUAGAAAACGUGAAGAGCAAUCCGGGUUGGGGGUUGGGGGGAGCCUUUGAUAACAGAAAAGUUAUUUGUAAAUGUUUCUUGUAGGUAAAUAUCAAAGCAGUAAUUUGUCAUCUGUCCCCAGUCUGCUUUAGUGGCAAUGACCAUGAUGUUUGUCUUUUAUCUUGAAAACUGAUGUACAGUUUGGUUCAGAUCUGCAAUAAACGAGGGUUCAUAUUUUUAAAAGUCAA